UCGUUUUUCACGCAGCUGAUGCACAUGAGCCUUCUACAUCUGUUCGUGUUAGGCGGUCUGUCAUGCCUGCUGCGUUUGAUGUUCAUUGAGGCUGUGAGGUAUCGUCGAGCUCUAGACAUUAAAUUAAGCACUUGUUGGGAGGUAACCCAACUGUUUUUCUUUGUUUUGUUUUCCUUUCUUUUAGUUUCGUUUUGUUUCUUUUUGUUUUGUCUUGUUCCUUUUUGUUUCGUUGUUUUGUUUGGGUUUUUGGUACAGCGUGAGCUUGGAAGAUGCGGAAACUCGCGCCUUGUUCAUACCACCACCAUGGAGCAUGUGUUUCUGUGAGUAGUGACACACAUAUCAUCAUCCCUCCAAACUUAUUUUCGAACUUAUGUUCUGUAAUAAGUUUGGGGGAGGGGGUGAGAUUAGAUAUGUGUAUCACUUUUAUCUUUUUGUUGGCUUUAUUGUUUUAUCUUGCUUGGUUGGUGGUGUGUGAUUGUUUAGUGCUCCAUUAGAUUUCUGGUGAGAUGCCAAUGAUGAUUUCUGUGAAAAAAAAAUUGAAUUUGAUUUUCUUUGAUGAUUUAAGCAUAAUUGGAACUAAUUUGCAUAAUUCUAGAGUGAUUUUAACCUUGACUUUUGGACGUUGAAUAAACCUGUGAGAUUUUGAGCCAUAACUGUUUUUCAUGCACAGUUUAUUCUUUAUUGUGAGUUUUGUCAUGCAUGUGGUGAUCUUCUAGAACUUGCCAUGGUUUCUGUGUCGAGGUUGCUGUUGUGCCCAGGAUUAGGAGAUGAUUUUAGGCCAUCUUUUGUUAGCCACAUUUUUUAUCCCAAACACUGUCCUUGAAUAUUUUAUCCUUUGUUAUCCUCUUUGAGCCUAUUUAGCUUUUAUUCUUUAGCCGGAUGAUAGGGGGUGAUGUAGUAUAUGGGGAUCCUUAUGUGGUGAAUGUUCAAAGUGGGUUGUGAAAAAGAAGGGAUGAUUUUGUGCUACUAUUUACUCUUAUAAGCUCUAGAAAAGUUGUGGAAAAAAAAAAAAAAAAAAAAAGAAAAAAAAAGAAAAAGAAAAAGAAAAAGAAAGAAAAAAAAAAAAAGUGUAAAGUCGAGUGUUUAUUGAGAAAUUUGUUAGAAAAUCGACUUUGUUUGUUGGAAAUAAAUGGAGAGCAUAAAAGAGUGUUUAGUUCUGUUUUGUGAUGAUUAAAUCCCUUGGUUGGAGUUGAUUAUGGUGACAUAGUUUGGUGGAAGAUGGAAUUUAUUCCAUACUUGCUUUGUGAAGUUAUAAGGUUGGUGUUCUUAAUUAUGUUGAGUCACUUAGCCUAUAUUUCCCUACCUUAACCAAUGUCCCUACAUUAUAACCCGAAGAAAAAGACCUUUCUGAUCUUAGCCCUGGCACACUUUUAGCGAUGGAGAUUGUAGACGAUUGGCAAGCCUAUGGUAAGAAAUCUGCAUUGCAUUGAAUUCGAUGAGAGUGUACACGUCC
Molecule: long non-coding RNA, 1453 nt
Filed under: Salvia miltiorrhiza (redroot sage)
Lineage: Eukaryota; Viridiplantae; Streptophyta; Magnoliopsida; Lamiales; Lamiaceae
Description: long non-coding RNA (SMIL_LNC002091)
Source: RNAcentral